UGGCGGCGUGCUUAACACAUGCAAGUCGAACGGAGUUACUUUAUGGAAGUUCUCGGAUGGAAGUAAAGUGACUCAGUGGCGGACGGGUGAGUAACGCGUGGGUAACCUGCCUUAUACAGGGGGAUAACAGCCGGAAACGGUUGCUAAUACCGCAUAAGCGCGCAGUAUUGCAUGAUACCGUGUGAAAAGAUUUAUCGGUAUAAGAUGGACCCGCGUCUGAUUAGCUAGUUGGUGAGGUAAUGGCUCACCAAGGCGACGAUCAGUAGCCGGCUUGAGAGAGUGAACGGCCACAUUGGGACUGAGACACGGCCCAAACUCCUACGGGAGGCAGCAGUGGGGAAUAUUGCACAAUGGGGGAAACCCUGAUGCAGCGACGCCGCGUGAGUGA
Molecule: ribosomal RNA, 388 nt
Filed under: uncultured bacterium
Lineage: Bacteria
Description: bacterial SSU rRNA
Rfam family: Bacterial small subunit ribosomal RNA
Source: RNAcentral